GGCUUAACACAUGCAAGUCGAGGGGCAGCAUGGUCUUAGCUUGCUAAGGCCGAUGGCGACCGGCGCACGGGUGAGUAACACGUAUCCAACCUGCCGUCUACUCUUGGACAGCCUUCUGAAAGGAAGAUUAAUACAAGAUGGCAUCAUGAGUCCACAUGUUCACAUGAUUAAAGGUAUUCCGGUAGACGAUGGGGAUGCGUUCCAUUAGAUAGUAGGCGGGGUAACGGCCCACCUAGUCUUCGAUGGAUAGGGGUUCUGAGAGGAAGGUCCCCCACAUUGGAACUGAGACACGGUCCAAACUCCUACGGGGGGCAGCAGUGAGGAAUAUUGGUCAAUGGGCGAGAGCCUGAACCAGCCAAGUAGCGUGAAGGAUGACUGCCCUAUGGGUUGUAAACUUCUUUUAUAAAGGAAUAAAGUCGGGUAUGUAUACCCGUUUGCAUGUACUUUAUGAAUAAGGAUCGGCUAACUCCGUGCCAGCAGCCGCGGUAAUACGGAGGAUCCGAGCGUUAUCCGGAUUUAUUGGGUUUAAAGGGAGCGUAGAUGGAUGUUUAAGUCAGUUGUGAAAGUUUGCGGCUCAACCGUAAAAUUGCAGUUGAUACUGGAUAUCUUGAGUGCAGUUGAGGCAGGCGGAAUUCGUGGUGUAGCGGUGAAAUGCUUAGAUAUCACGAAGAACUCCGAUUGCGAAGGCAGCCUGCUAAGCUGCAACUGACAUUGAGGCUCGAAAGUGUGGGUAUCAAACAGG
This 742-nucleotide ribosomal RNA is filed under the name uncultured Bacteroidales bacterium. RNAcentral's name for it is "bacterial SSU rRNA". It matches the Rfam family "Bacterial small subunit ribosomal RNA", at positions 45 to 776 of the family's 1533-position model. Lineage: Bacteria; Pseudomonadati; Bacteroidota; Bacteroidia; Bacteroidales. The record is from RNAcentral.